Oncorhynchus keta (chum salmon) is the source of this 376-nucleotide long non-coding RNA. RefSeq lists it as uncharacterized. The record is from RefSeq and is a predicted model, not a curated record. Lineage: Eukaryota; Metazoa; Chordata; Actinopteri; Salmoniformes; Salmonidae. The transcript is spliced from 3 exons.
AUACAAUUCUGAUCGGUACGACAGUAAAUCUUCAGCAGUUCGUCAUGACGGGAGCAGAUGUUCUCCUGUAGCUGUGUGGAGGCUUUGACCAGCUUGUGCUUCUUUAGUGCAGGGACACUAUAGUGAGGCUGUAGGUGAGUCUUGCAGGAAGACACCAGACACACCAGACAGGACAUGAGGGCUUUCUGCUUUCUAGUCCCAGUGCAGAAAUCACAUGCCACAUCUCCAGGUCCAGCAUAGACCAGAUCAGGGGGAUCAGCCUGAAGUCCUGUCUUCUUCAGUUUCUCCACCACUUCAGCCAACAUGUUAUUCUUUCUCAGAGCAGGCCUUGGAGUGAAGGCCUGUCUGCACUGAGGACAGCUGUAGAUCCCCUUCA